RNAcentral lists this ribosomal RNA (468 nucleotides) under uncultured bacterium. Its description in RNAcentral is "partial 16S ribosomal RNA". It matches the Rfam family "Bacterial small subunit ribosomal RNA", at positions 28 to 507 of the family's 1533-position model. The record is from RNAcentral.
GACGAACGCUGGCGGCGUGCUUAACACAUGCAAGUCGAACGGAAAGGCCCUGCGUUUGUGGGGUGCUCGAGGGGCGAACGGGUGCGUAACACGUGAGUAACCUGCCCUUGACUUUGGGAUAACUUCAGGAAACUGGGGCUAAUACCGGAUAGGAGCUCCUGCAGCAUGGUGGGGGUUGGAAAGUUUCGGCGGUUGGGGAUGGACUCGCGGCUUAUCAGCUUGUUGGUGGGGUAGUGGCUUACCAAGGCUUUGACGGGUAGCCGGCCUGAGAGGGUGACCGGCCACCUUGCGACUGCGAUACGGCCCAGACUCCUACGGGGGGCAGCGGUGGGGAAUCUUGCACAAUGGGCGGGAGCCUGAUGCAGCAACGCCGCGUGCGGGAUGACGGCCUUCGGGUUGUAAACCGCAUUCGCCUGUGACGAAGCGUGAGUGACGGUAAUGGGUAAAGAAGCACCGGCUAACUACGUG